AGCGAACGCUGGCGGCAGGCCUAACACAUGCAAGUCGAACGAACCUUUCGGGGUUAGUGGCGGACGGGUGAGUAACACGUGGGAACGUGCCUUUAGGUUCGGAAUAACUCAGGGAAACUUGUGCUAAUACCGAAUGUGCCCUUCGGGGGAAAGAUUUAUCGCCUUUAGAGCGGCCCGCGUCUGAUUAGCUAGUUGGUUGAGGUAAUGGCUCACCAAGGCGACGAUCAGUAGCUGGUCUGAGAGGAUGAUCAGCCACAUUGGGACUGAGACACGGCCUAAACUCCUACGGGAAGCAGCAGUGGGGAAUCUUGCGCAAUGGGCGAAAGCCUGACGCAGCCAUGCCGCGUGAAUGAUGAAGGUCUUAGGAUUGUAAAAUUCUUUCACCGGGGACGAUAAUGACGGUACCCGGAGAAGAAGCCCCGGCUAACUUCGUG
RNAcentral lists this ribosomal RNA (434 nucleotides) under uncultured bacterium. RNAcentral's name for it is "partial 16S ribosomal RNA". It matches the Rfam family "Bacterial small subunit ribosomal RNA", at positions 29 to 507 of the family's 1533-position model. The record is from RNAcentral.